Molecule: long non-coding RNA, 22297 nt
Filed under: Vitis vinifera (wine grape)
Lineage: Eukaryota; Viridiplantae; Streptophyta; Magnoliopsida; Vitales; Vitaceae
Description: long non-coding RNA (VVIN_LNC000953)
Source: RNAcentral
UUUUGUUUGCUCUCCAAGAAAAUGCAUCUUGUUCAAGGAGAAAGUGACCUUUUUGUUUAUAGAAUAGGAUUGGCAUCAGCAGAGCUUUGAACUGGUCACAUAGAUGAGGAAUUUAAUUUUCAUAUACAUGAUCACAUGCAGACAUGUGUUAAAUAUAUCGUAUUAGAAAAUUUUGAGUAGUUGUUUUAAACGUUUUUUUUUUUUUUUUUUGACUUUUGCCCUGCUCCUUCCAGGUCCAUAUUGAAGAGAUGAUCAGCUUAGCCAAGAUUUGACUUCAUUCCCAAGUGUGGUUUUAUUCUUGGAGUUGGGAAAAAACCACCAUUGUUCUUCUUAUUUAGAAUAUAUAUAUAUAUAGCUCUGAAUUGUCCUUUUAGCUCUUACUAAUUUGGGUUUGGCUAAAAAGUCUGAAUCAAAUUGAGGAUAAAUGAUAUUCCUGGAUGAAUUGAAUUGAUUGUUACGGAUUUGUAGUUCAAAUUCCACUGCCCAUUCAAAAAUAGCUUCAGUACUCAAUUUUCUCUUCUGUACACACCACCUUCAAUAUUUUAGACAUUCUCUGUGUUUCUUUCAUCACUGGAUUAUAAAAAAAGAAAACUAUAUAUGAAAUGUUUACUACUAUAUAUAUAGGCCUAUCUAGCAGCAAACUCCUCAAACAGAGAGUUAAUUUUUCUCACAAGUCCUCCCCCUGAGGAACAGAAAGAGAAAAAUGGAAUCAGAGAGAAUUUUUGAGACAGAAGAUAUUCACAUUUGAGUGAUUUGAGUUCCAUCAGCACUAGAAUUCAUUAACCAAACAGUCUGUACUGUGGAAUAGGUUGGUGCCAAUGGAGAGUAGUGAUAUUAGCAGAGUAACUAGUGGACGUAUUACUGCUUCUAACAUACUCAGGAACAGCUCUGUGGAAGUUUUCUCGAGGUCUUCUCGGGAAGAAGAUGAUGAAGAAGCCCUGAAAUGGGCUGCUCUCGAGAAACUGCCUACAUUCCUUCGUAUACAGAGAGGCAUCCUCACUGAAGAAAAGGGCCAGACAAGGGAAAUUAAUAUAAAGAGCCUUGGGUUGCCAGAGAGGAAGAAUCUGAUCCAGCGGCUUGUGAAGAUUGAUGGGCAUGAUAAUGAGAAGUUCUUGUUGAAGCUCAAGGAGCGGAUUGAUCGGUAAUUUUCAUCAAAAUAAUAAUUUUCAAAUCUUUUUAGUUCUCAGAUAAUCAUAAUGUUUCAAAUUCUUGAGUAUUGUGUCUAUGUUGUCAGUCCCCUGUUUUUGGGUUGUAUGAAUUAGAAAAUUUUCAUCAUUGGUAUGCUUGUUUUUGCUUUUUCAAACAGAGUUGGACUUGAUAUUCCAACGGUUGAAGUUCGAUUCGAGCACUUAACAGUUGAUGCAGAGGCUUAUGUUGGAAGCAGAGCAUUACCCACUAUAUUCAACUUCUCAGCAAAUAUUUUGGAGGUAGUUCAUCUUCCAGACCAUACAGAUUUAUGUAUAUAAUUCUUAUGCUUUCCACCUUUUUAUUUGCAAAUCAGACUCACCAAAGAUAAUUUCUUUCUGAAGGGGUUCUUGAAUUAUCUUCACAUUCUUCCUAGUAGAAAGAAACCCUUCUCAAUCCUCCAUGAUGUUAGUGGAAUCAUCAAACCUCGCAGGUGAGAAUCAUGGAAUAAAUCACAAUUGUUCAUUAUUGACACUCCAACCAGUACAUUUUUCAUAGGUUUGAUCCGGUUUUUGUAGAAUGACUUUGCUUCUAGGACCUCCAAGCUCUGGGAAGACUACACUGUUAUUAGCUUUGGCAGGAAGACUUGGUUCAGAUCUGAAGGUAAGAAGAACUCAUUCCAAUCUCUACUAAUUUUUCGGAACUUUUUCAUUCUGUGACAAGAUAUUGAUACUUAUGAGAUUUCAGGUUUCGGGCCGAGUUACCUACAAUGGCCAUGGAAUGGAUGAGUUUGUUCCACAGAGGACUUCAGCUUAUACAAGUCAAUAUGAUCUUCAUGCUGGAGAAAUGACAGUGCGAGAAACAUUAGAUUUUUCAGCUAGAUGUCAGGGGGUUGGAGGCCUUUCUGGUCAGUUUCAAUGCCAUGAAGUUUUACUUAUUGUGCUCGGUUGAAAGAAUUCCAGUGGAUGGGAAUGAAUUUGUUUCAAAUUUGGAUAUUUUGCAGAUAUGUUAGCCGAAUUAUCAAGAAGAGAGAAGGCUGCAAACAUUAAGCCUGAUCCUGAUAUUGAUAUCUACAUGAAGGUGCUGAGAAAACACAGCUAGAACUAAAAUUUUAAUCAUCAGCAUAUUUUCUUGCCUGCAAUCCUUAAUAAUUGGUGUAGGGAAUAUGUUUUCAUACAUAGGCUGCAGCACUAGAAGGGCAGAAGACCAGUGUAGUCACAGAAUAUAUGCUCAAGGUACCAAUUUUGAAUGCAUGCAGAAUACUGAAAAUGUUUUCAAAGAUGACAAAAAUCUGAAAAUUUUCUGUUUCUGUUUUGAAAACUUGGAAGAUUCUAGGACUUGAAAUCUGCGCCGAUACAUUGGUGGGGGAUGUAAUGAAACAAGGCAUAUCCGGCGGACAAAAAAAGCGACUCACAACAGGUGAUAAGCAUAAAACAUCUUAUUUAUUCCAACGGAAGUGACACACCAUAUCUUUGCAUCUUUUCAACUGAAUCCCUAAUUUUUCUAGACAUUUUACCUAUGAUCAGUGAAUUUGAAUCUGAAAAAAAGCUAAAACAAGGAGCUACAUUUGCUUGAUACAGGGGAGAUACUGGUUGGACCAGCCAGAGCACUUUUCAUGGAUGAGAUAUCAACUGGUUUGGAUAGUUCAACAGCUUUUCAGAUUGUAAAUUCACUCAGGCAGUCCAUCCAUAUUCUUAAUGGAACUGCUCUUAUCUCUCUCCUCCAACCAGCACCAGAAACAUACAACCUAUUUGAUGAUAUAAUUCUCCUUUCUGAUGGAAAAAUUGUGUAUCAAGGUCCCUGUGAAAAUGUGCUCGAGUUCUUUGGAUACAUGGGCUUCAAAUGUCCAGAAAGGAAAGGAGUGGCUGACUUCUUACAAGAAGUAAUUCUAAUACUUGAAUCACAUUUUCUUCUCAUAUCCAUUCCUGAUCUUUAAAGCUCAAUGGGCUUACCAUUUUCUUUUGGCAUUGCACCAUAGGUGACAUCAAGGAAGGAUCAAGAGCAGUACUGGGCGCGUAAGGACGAGCCUUAUAGCUACGUUACUGUCAAGGAAUUCGCUGAAGCGUUUCAAUCAUUUCAUAUUGGUCAGAAACUAGGUGAUGAGCUUGCUGUGCCAUUCGAUAAGACCAAAGGCCACCCUGCUGCUUUGACAACCAAAAAAUAUGGUAUUAGCAAGAGAGAACUGUUGAGAGCUUGCACAUCCAGGGAAUUCUUGCUUAUGAAGAGGAAUUCAUUUGAAGAGGAAUUCAUUUGUCUAUAUUAAGUAGAAUUGAUGCACUAAACUUUCAGUUCUGACGAUUUAAAUGAACUAUGAAAAUUCAGAAUCAUUUUGAGAGUUGACUGUAAUUCCUUUUUUUUCUUUUUUUUCAGCUUAUUAUUGUGGCUUUUAUAAACAUGACAUUGUUUCUCCGAACUGAGAUGUCGCGAAAUACAGUAGAAGAUGGGGGGAUUUUCAUGGGUGCCCUUUUCUUUGCAGUCUUGAUGAUUAUGUUCAAUGGAUUCACAGAGCUUCCCAUGACCAUCUUCCAACUUCCAGUCUUUUACAAGCAAAGGGACCUUCUCUUCUUUCCCUCCUGGGCAUACUCUCUACCUAAAUGGAUCCUCAAGAUGCCAAUCGCAUUUGCUGAAGUUGGUGCCUGGGUGAUCAUGACUUAUUAUGUCAUAGGCUUUGAUCCAAACAUAGAAAGGUAACCCCCCAAAAUGGGAAAUCAGGAUCCAACUUCUUGUUUAAAAUUUUUAGUAUCCUGACUUAUUCAAAGUUCUAAAUGGCAGGUUCUUCAAGCAAUAUUUGCUACUGCUAUGCAUUCACCAGAUGGCUUCAGGACUUCUUCGGUUGAUGGCGGCAUUGGGAAGGAACAUCAUAGUUGCAAACACAUUUGGCUCAUUUGCAUUACUUGUAGUCAUGGUUUUGGGUGGAUUUGUCUUGUCAAAAGGUGUAAACAGAAGGAAAAUUGGAGUUCAAUUCAAAUAACAGUUCUUUCUUCAUGGCAAUAUAACUUGUACUCACAUAUGAAAAUCAAUUUUCUUCCCUCUCAGAUGAUGUGAAGACAUGGUGGGAAUGGGGUUAUUGGGUCUCACCUUUGAUGUAUGGGCAGAAUGCUAUUAGUGUGAAUGAAUUCCUUGGGAACAGCUGGAGACAUGUAAGCUUCAAUUUCAUAAUGAAGGGAAAAUUGUUCUGAUCAUUAUCUGCUAAAACUUCAUUCAAUUUUUUAUGUUACAGGUUCCGGCUAACUCAACAGAAUCAUUAGGAGUUCUAGUCUUGAAAGCUCGUGGGGUUUUCACAGAACCACACUGGUAUUGGCUGGGAGUAGGAGCUUUGAUUGGAUAUGUGCUCCUAUUCAAUUUCCUCUUCACUUUGGCUCUAUCAUAUCUAAAUCGUAAGUUUUCUUUCUUCUGUUGUAAACUUCCCAAAACUUGGAAUAAUUUUUCUAAUAAUUUGAUCAAUCUGCUGCAGCAUUUGGGAAGUCUCAACCAAUUCUAUCCAAAGAGACCUUAACUGAGAAACAAGCUAACAGAACAGAAGAGUUGAUUGAGCUGUCACCAGGUAGGAAGAGCUCUGCUGGUUGGUCAUUAACUUCACAUUUAUAUGUUUAUGCCCAUAACAUAUACAAUUUGAUAAACAAUACAGAAACGGGAGCAAGAAUUCAAAGUGGAUCAUCCAGGUCAUUGUCUGCAAGAGUGGGCUCCAUUACUGAAGCUGACCAGAGCAGGAAAAGGGGAAUGGUUCUUCCUUUCGAACCUCUGUCUAUCUCUUUUGAUGAAAUCAGAUAUGCAGUGGACAUGCCACAGGUACCUUUUCUGAGUUUUAAUCAAGAAACUAUGUUUUUGGUCUAGACUGUAGGGGAUUUUUCAUACUAAAGAACCAACUAAUCGUCACAUUUUCUGGAUUAUUUGAUGAUUGAUACUAUGCAGGAAAUGAAAGCACAAGGCAUCACUGAGGACAGAUUGGAACUUUUGAGAGGCGUGAGCGGUUCAUUCAGGCCAGGAAUCCUUACAGCCCUAAUGGGUGUUACCGGUGCUGGAAAAACUACUCUGAUGGAUGUAUUGGCCGGAAGAAAAACCAGUGGAUAUAUUGAAGGAAUUAUCAAAGUGUACGGGUACCCAAAGAAACAGGAAACUUUUGCUCGUGUGUUGGGAUAUUGUGAGCAAACUGAUAUCCACUCUCCUCACGUUACAGUCUAUGAGUCCUUGCUUUAUUCUGCAUGGCUUCGGUUACCUUCUGAAGUCGAUUCGGCAACCAGGAAGGUUCACAUUCUAAUUGAUAGAGGGCCUAGGGAACUAAGACAAAAUAUUCAGAAUACAAAAGAUGAAGUUCAAUUUAAGCAUAUCAGAUGAUACUGACUUGUAUUCCAACUAAUUGGUUGCAGAUGUUCAUUGAGGAGGUUAUGGAGCUUGUGGAACUAAACUCAUUGAGGGAAGCACUUGUUGGAUUGCCCAGUGAAAAUGGUCUGUCAACAGAGCAGCGCAAGAGACUGACCAUUGCAGUUGAGCUUGUUGCCAACCCAUCUAUAAUAUUCAUGGAUGAGCCAACAUCUGGGCUUGAUGCCAGGGCAGCAGCAAUAGUGAUGAGAACAGUGAGGAACACAGUGGACACAGGAAGAACUGUAGUGUGCACCAUCCACCAGCCAAGCAUAGAUAUAUUUGAUGCCUUUGAUGAGGUGAGAUGUCCUUUUAUAGGAUUAAAAAAAAACAAAUUAUCUACUUUCAUUUCCAAGUUUAAUGAAAGGACUAAGUAUUUCAAUCUCAAAUUGCAGCUACUUCUCUUGAAACGGGGAGGCGAAGAAAUUUACGCAGGCCCAAUAGGUCGCCAUUCUUCCCAUCUGAUCAAGUACUUUGAGGUGAGGCUAACAGGGACAUGAUUCAUACUAUGACGGUUUUAUUUCCUAUACUUUCUCCUCAUAUGGUUUUGGAUCUUAUCAUGUAGGGAAUUAAUGGAGUUAGUAAGAUUAAAGAUGGUUAUAACCCAUCAACUUGGAUGUUAGAGGUGACUUCGGCAGCACAAGAGGUAGCUCUAGGAGUGAACUUCACUGAAGAAUACAAGAACUCAGAACUGUAUAGGUAGGAGGAUCAAACUCUCAAGUCUAUUUCAAAAUUGGUCAUGGUUGGAACACAGCUUAAAGUUUUGAAAUAGGCAAAAUCAAGGGGAAGAAUGACAACAUUCUUGAAGAUCUGCCUUACUUUUGCAGUUUUGAUAUUAACACCCUACUGUGAAUGCAUCAGGAGAAACAAGGCAUUGAUCAAGGAACUGAGUUCACCCCCUCCAGGGUCAAAAGACCUUUACUUCUCAACUCAAUAUUCACAAUCUUUCUUCACACAAUGUUUGGCUUGCCUAUGGAAACAGCACUGGUCAUAUUGGAGAAACCCAGCAUACACUGCCGUGAGAUUGUUCUUCACAACCUUCAUAGCUUUAAUGCUUGGGACAAUAUUCUGGGAUUUUGGCUCCAAAAGGUAAUUUCCAAAUAACUAAUACCUAUGAUGGGAUAGUGAAUAGUUUCUAAUCUCCAGUCCUAAUUUGAUUAUAAUUUUGGGAGUUGUAGGAAAAGGCAACAGGAUCUCUUCAAUGCAAUGGGUUCUAUGUAUGCUGCAGUUAUCUCCAUAGGGAUACAAAAUGCCUCAUCUGUACAGGCAGUUGUAGCCAUUGAGAGAACAGUCUUUUACAGAGAAAGAGCAGCUGGAAUGUAUUCACCUUUCCCAUAUGCCUUUGGACAGGUAAGCAAUAAGAAUAAAAGCCUUCUUUUCCAAACUUUCAGAAUAAGAAAUGGCCCUGACCAAAUCCCCAUUUCUCUGCAGGUUAUGAUUGAGCUCCCACACAUAUUCAUCCAAACCAUCAUCUAUGGACUUAUAGUAUAUGCCAUGGUUGGGUUUGAGUGGACAGUCACUAAAUUCUUCUGGUAUCUUUUCUUCAUGUACUUCACCUUCUUAUACUUCACAUUCUAUGGGAUGAUGGCAGUAGCCAUUACUCCUAACCAACACAUCUCCGGCAUAGUUUCCUCUGCUUUCUAUGGAUUAUGGAACCUCUUCUCGGGAUUCAUCAUUCCGCACACAGUAAGUACAAACGAUUUCUACCCGGGUGAUAUCACAAUUAAUAAGGACUAACCUGUUUCCUCCCAUUUUUUUUCCCUUUGACAGAGGAUUCCAGUGUGGUGGAAAUGGUACUUCUGGUCAUGUCCGGUGUCUUGGACUUUGUAUGGAUUGCUUGUCACACAAUUUGGGGACAUAAAGGAGAGGCUUGAGAGUGGGGAAAGAGUAGAAGAUUUCGUAAGGAGCUACUUUGGGUAUAGAAAUGACUUUGUGGGAGUUGUUGCAGGCAUCGUAGUUGGGAUAACUGUGCUGUUUGGAUUCAUCUUCGCCUACUCAAUCAGGGCUUUUAACUUCCAGAAAAGAUGAGAAUGACCCCAUGCAGAAGAAAUAUAUAUAGACACUUCUGUUUCAUGAAUCCUAGAGAUGUUAAAUUUGAAGACAGGAGCUUCAGUCUAGCUAUAUCCUAUUUAGGUUGCAGAGAUUUGUUCUUCUUUAUUUUGGUUUCUUAUUUUCAUUUGACAAUGAAGCCAAUUUAGUGGAAAAGCAUUAGAUCCAUGUAAUGAUCUUGAUUAGUAUGCAUUGAGUUAGAGUGAAAAGCAUCUAGAAACUGAUGGAAAAUUCCAAGGUUGAAUUCGAUUGUGCAAAAGUAUCACAUCAAUUCAUUUAUGUUUUUCAAACAGUGCCUUAGAGCCCGUUUGAUAAUGAUUUUAAGAAGCGUUUUUAAUUUAAAAGCGUUUUUGAAAGAACAUUAGGUAUUUGACAAAAUUUAGGAAACACUUGUAAAAAUUUGAAAAAACGGUUAGAAUGUGUUUGAUAGUAAUAUUGAUAAAUGUUUCCAACAUUUCUAAUACUUGAAAAAUAAAAAUUUUCAAGUGUUAGAAAUGUUGAAAAACACUUACCAGAAUCAGUGUCAAACGCAUUCUUAUAGUGUUGAAAAAUCACUUAUAGUAUUUCUUAGAGAAACAUUUUAUAGACAAUUCUUUAAAAAAUGCUUCAUAAGAAAACACUUUGACUAAAAACACUUUGAGUAGAAAUACUCUCAAGCAUACUCUUAGUCUCUCAUAUGGUAGUUUUCACACUUACAUUCCAUAAGAAAAACUAAAGAAAUCUAUAUUGAAAGGUAAAUAAGAACAAAGGUCCAAUGAAAUCUAUACACAAAAGCAUAAAAGCCCUCCUAACCUAAUAAAAAGUAUUUAUAUCAUAACCUUAAAAUGACAUUUAACACAUUUUCAUUAGCCACAUAAACCAAAGUAUUCUUUAAAAACCCUCAUUCACUAAAACAAUCUCUAAAAUUAUAAUUUUUUAUUUGAAAAAUGCAAUAGUCUAGGUCAAAUCAAUUUUGUACAUAUCUGAAAUUAAAAUUUUGAUGUGAAACCGAUUUCUCUUGAAAUCUUGAACUCCCAAAUAGGUUUCAAGAUCUCAUAAAUCAAAAUUUUGAUGCCACAUACUGGUUGCUCCUCCACAUGUUAUUCUCAAAUUGAUUUGAAAUCAGAAAACCGAUUUGACACACUACCUUGAUUGAAACAUCUAUCGUUGAAAUUGAUUUUUUUUUUUUAAAUCGAUUUGUUAUGGUCCACACUAAUUUUGCAUUAGUGAUGGUAGUUUUGCGGACUAUCCGAGUAACCCACCCUGCCCCACUCCUAUUGGGAUGGUUAUGCUCAAUGAUAAUCAAGGAUGGGAUGGGUUUGGGAAAUUUUUCAAAACCCGAAUCGGGUUUAAGGCGGGGAUGGGUUUUGUACCACCCCACCCCACUCGCCUUACCAAGUUACAAAUUUAGCAUUCAAAUUUUAUAAAAUAUCAAACAACUUCCUAUUAUAAAUAAUGUCUUUUUUCAUAUUUGCCUCAUACCAGCCAUUGCUCUCCUCUCAUCUCUACAUAUUGCCCAUUUCUACUUCAAGCUUCAGAAAUCCAUCUUCAAGGAUAAAGCCAGGAAGAGCAACAAAAUCAAGAAACAUUCAUGAAGAAACCCUUUUCUCUUCUUCAAAUAUAAGUGGAAUCACAACGAUGAUUGGCUCGAUUGCAAUUGCAACAACUUCGAUAUUCAUUGUCAAAGCCUUCAAAGCCUCCAUUUCAAGCCCUCUUUUCUUUAGAAGGUUUGGGUUUUGAUUUGGUUUUUAACCCUAGUUAUAUUUUAGGGUUUUAUCCAAUUGGAUUGUGUAGAAAUAUUUGAUUUUUAUGGAAAUUUUUUAUGAUUUUUCCUUUUUAAUUUUAGUUUUGGUUUGAUAAUCAACUUUCAUCCCAUAUUAUUCCAAGUGUGAAUCUAUCUCAAGUCUCAAACCCAUUCUUUUUUUUUUUUUUCCAAUAUUUUCUUAAGACCAUUGUGGUCUCUCCAAAUUUUUUUGGUGUUUUUUGCUUUUUAAGAAAAGUGUAUAAGUAUGAAAAUUGUGAAUUUUUUCAUUGAGAAUUUUGUGAAUUGAUGUAAUGUCCUUGGUUUUGGGAAAAUCAUCCUCCUCAUCCAAAUAGAAAUACAUAACUAGGUUGAGAUAUGCGGGAAUGGGUUUAUCAUUUUUUCUAUAAACAAGGAUGGGGACUCAUCAACAUACCCCGGCUCGGGUUUGGGACAAGGAUGGGGAAGGAUUAUAUAAUUGGGAUGGGAAUAAGAUAAGGGGUGCCUCAUCCUAAUCCUGCCUUGUUGCUAUCCUUAUUUUCCAUGCUAUUGUUGAUUUUUCUUGCAUUUUCUUUUCUUAGCACUUUGUAGCUACUACUUAGGUCUCCUCCUAAGCAUACUCAUACCUCCAUUCCAUCACGCAUGCUAGGGUUGUAUCAAACCUCUCACAUCUUCUCCAUUUUCUAACUUUUCACUCAAAAAUUGUAUGUUAUACUUAAAUAUGGCAUUAGUACAAAUCUAAGCCAAAGGUAGUGAUUUGUCUAAGUUCUUCUAUCUAAAACAAAGCCAUUAACAUUUUUAUAAGUUUGAAUUUGGGCAUAAAUCAUCCCUCUCAAUUUUAUCUUUACUAGUCCUUAGAAAAAGUAAAAAAGCAAAAAUGGAGAUAAAACCAUCCAUGCAAGCUUACUAAGAUGAUAUAUUCUCAAUACAAAAGUCAUCCAUAGAUAUAAUAAUUCAAGAGUUAGGAUUAAACACAAUGUAAGUAGCUCAUAAGUAUGUCAAUCUUGUACCUUUACACACAAGCAUGCAUCCAUGUUUAGUACUUACCUAGAAAGCAUCACCCAUACUCUUAGAACAAGAUCUAAUUCCCUAAUGAUGUAUGCUCAUAAACUAUCGUUGACUCAAGUUUAUAUAACGAACAAAGUGUUGAUGGUUUCAAACUAGUUGAUUUUGAGGACCACAAUAUAAAUGCACUCGACCGGUACUCUCUCAGGAUGCUUGCUCAAGCUUACAAAAAUUCAAAUAAAAUCUUCUUGAAAUACCAAAAAAAAUCUGCCUAAUUCUGGUGGAUUCAGGACGAGUACUUGAGUGCUUGAGCGUUGGAUAACAGCAUGAGUGGCUCCACCACUUGAGCAUCCCUUGCUUUUCCAAAAUAUUAAUUUAAGUAUUUUUAAUUCAAUAAAAACAUACUAUUCACUUAACCCUUUAAACAUCUCACUUGUCACAAAUCAAACAUUUUUAAACUUACCUAUAACUUUUCAGUUGAUUGAACAAUAACUUUAAAUCUUCAAUGAAGAGUAAAUUAUUACCUAAAAAGUUUCUUAAACUAAAAAAUAAAUUAAAAUAAAAUUACCAACAAAUAAUGUAGACUUAUUGUCCUAACACUUGAGAAUUUUAAGAAUUACUAUCAUUAUCAUUUGAUUUUGGUUUAAAAAGUUAGAUGUUCUUAAUUCCUACUAGCGCAAAUGAUUACACCCAAAAACUAAUUUUUUACAAUUUGUGAUUAUCUUAAUGUUUUAAUUUAUCUAAGUAUAAAAAUAAAUAAUCAAUCACCUUAAGAAAUGUGCGUUCUACACAAGGUUCGAAAAAUUGGAAUAUUUCGCCGAAAGCAAAAUAUUGGAUAUCGGAGGUGGCUGAAAACGGCCGCCGAUUAUUGGGCUGAUUUUUUGGCGAAAAAAUUCAGAAGCGGCUGCAAGCGCGUGGGAGGAUCUCACGCAAAAAAUUGGCUAUUUUUUAAAAAAUCGCAUAUUUAUCGCGGAUAAAUCACUAUAAAUUGGGCAAUUUUUUUUUAAAAAAAAUCGCUGAUUUUAACUUUUUUUUUUUUUAAAUAUUUAUCCUUUUUAUUUUUUAAUUAUUCAUUUCUAAUUUAUCUUUUAUUUUAAAUUUAUACUAUUAUUUUAUUUUUAGCUACUUUUCAUAUUUAUCUCAUUAAUCAUAUUUUAAAAAAUCAAUAUCACUUUAAAAUAUUAAAAAUAUAAUUUUAUUUAAAAAUUGUUGAAAUAUAAAAGUUUUAAUAUUUUAUAAAUUAAAAUUAAUUUGAUAAGAUAAAUUAUUAAUAUAAUUUUUAAUAAUUUUAAUUAUUUAAAUAAAUUAAUGUUAAUAGAAAAAAUUGUAAACACAAAUUUGUAAUAAGAUUUUAGAAACUAAGGUAGUGUUUGUUUUUUGACUGAAUAGAAAAAUUGAUAUCAAACGGGUUACUUUUAAUUUAAUAGAAAAAGUCAAAUAUUUUGACUUUUUUUAUUCAAGCAAAAAACAAACAUCACCUAAAUCUCAAAUGAAUUAUUUUAUGUAGAUUAAUUUAACUUUUUAUUUAAAAUGUAUUAAUACAUGUUUUAAUAAAAGUUGUUUUUAAUUUUUAAAAUAAAUAAAUAUAAAUAUAUUAAAGAAAUUUAAACUAAUUUUUUUAUAAAAAAAAUUCAUAAAUAUUAUCUUUAAUUAUAUUUAUAUCAAUUUGUGGACCCCGUAUUUCGCUCAUGUGCUUCACUCGAUGGGGAGCUCGUUUUUUAUUUAAAAAUGAUUUUAUUUUUUUAAGAAAAUAACUUGGAGUUGCCACUUAUUUUUGUUUUAUUUUUAAAAGGUAAACAAAAUAAGAAAGAAAACCUUGUUUUUGAAAAGGUGGUUUAUGAAAAAUCGGAUCAGGGCUAGGUUACUUAUUGGGAAGGUACGGUAAAAACCGUAGCACCCCUCUAAGUCCCAAAAAGGGGUCUCUACUAAUAAAAUGAAACAAUCAUGGAAAUUGAUAAGUAGAUCACUAGAUACCGAAUGAAAAAUCAAAACAAAAUGCCCAAAUGAAUAUAAGAGGCAAAGAACGUACCUGAGUUAUGAACGAAUUUAUUUCUUUGGAAGCAAAGGUUAGUGAAUAAACAUAGAAGCAUAUCAUAGAACAGGACAAAUCCAUCACGUAUAACAAUCAAAUCAAUCAAUCAAUCAUAAAAUCACAUAUGUUGGGCCCUCACCAAUGCCCGAUCGAUCUUGUAUGAAUUAAUCGCACAAAUUCCAUUAGUUUGGAAUUAUGAAAAUUGUCUUUGUGCUUAUUGAGAAUCAAGAAGAACCGGAGAUUAUUUGGAAACCAGAGUGGACUUAAAACCGUUUAAGAGAAAAUCGGAUUUUUGAAAUUUGCUUAAAAAUUGGAGUCUCGAGGAUUUGUUUGAAAAUUGGAGUCUUGAGAAUUAAAUUUGAAGAUUGAAAAUUUAGAAACUGAAUUUGAAAGAAAUUGGAAUUGACAAUUAUUUGAGAAGUAGAAACUGUGAAAAUUUUAUUAUAUAAAUUGGAAUCUUUGGAAAUUGUUCGAAUCGAAGGUGGAAUUCUUUUGAAAAUAAACAAAUAAAAUGAGAAUAAUAAUAAUAAUAAUAAUAAAUAAAUAAAUAAAAUAAAUGUGAAAAUUGGUAUUUUGGAAAUUGGAAAUUAAGUUCGGGAAUUAGAAAACUGGAAUUUCAAAAAUUGAGAGUUGAAUUCAGGAAUUGGAAUUUUGAAGGGUUAUUUAGAGAAAGAAUUUUAAAUAAAUGAAUAAGUAAAUAAACAAAUAAACGGAAUAAUAAUAAUAACGAAAAUAAUAAUGAUUAGAUUAAUUGUGAAAAUUGGAAAUUGAAUUUAGAAAUUGGAAAUUAAAUUUGGAAAUUGGAAAUUUGAAGAAUUAUUUAAGCAGAAUUUUAAGUAAAUGAAUAAGUCAAUAAAUAAAUAAACAGAAUAAUAACAAUUACAAAAAUAAUAAUGAUUAGAUAAAUAAUUGUGAAAAUUGGAAUUUUGGAACUUGGAAAUUAAAUUUGGAAAUUUGAAGAAUUAUUUAGAAAUAAAAUUUUAAAUAAAUAAAAUAAUAAUAAUAACGAAAAUAAUAAUUAAAUAAAUGAACGUGAAUAUUGGAAUUUUUUAAAUUGGAAAUUAAAGAAUUUUGAAAAGAUAUGUAAGGAUUAAACAUAAGAGCUCCGGCAGAUUUCUGAAGAGCGACUGAGGUGCCGCUAACGUGGCAAGUCAUGGGAAUGUCGACAUCGCCCAGGAACCUAACCCCCACCAUGACAAUCGGGAUCGAAGGACGGCCUCCGGUGAGGUGGUGCAAGAUGGACGGUGUUUCGGCUUUGCUCUCUUAUUCUAAUCUUUGCUUUCACGUUGUCAAUGGUGUCGGAGCUUGCGACUUCCAAAGUAAAAGUAUUUCCGGUAAGGGUUUUGACGAAGAUCUGCAUCUUGAGACUUUGAGAGAGACGUUCUAAAGCCGCAAAAGAGGGCAAAGAGGGUUUUUCUGAUGGCUUUGAAUAUAUGGAGUCAAUGAAGGAGAGACCAUGGAGAUGGCAGAUGUGGAGACGGGCUCUGGGGAAUGAAGGGUGGAUUAGAUUAAUAUGAGGUGAGUAUCAGGGUUCAAAGUAUCGGACGAGUCGUAUCCGCCUCGACACCUGCCACGACGAGACCAGAUACGGUAUAAUACACGAACUCGACUGGGAAUCAGUUAGACUCGACUGACUUAUUUGAGUUUCUGAGUUAACUCGGUUAGAUUAUAGAGAAUUUUCAAAAUUUUCAUAAAAUUAAAAAAAUAAAUUAAUCAGAGAUUGCCCUUCCAAAAGCAAACACCUAUUCUGAAAUUUUAAACCAUCAAUGAGAAGAUCAAAGAAGAUGAAGAAGAAAAAACCUUAACCGAAGAAACCACCAAAGGAUGAGGGCAUGAUUUAGGAUUUACUUACUUGAUUUUCCUCAAAAUCGAGCAUUACCAGAGGGUGGAGCUUUGGUGUCGACAGUGGUGACUUGUGAAGUGGACUGAAUAUUUCAUUAGCGACGUGGACAAGACAACCCCUCACAAUCAGAUUGCUCCUCCUCCCAUGUUAGGAAUGGUUACAAAUUUGCGAUUGCAAGUGGUGUUGUCUGUUGUGGGUCUUGACAGCAUGGUGGCGUGCGAGGGUGGGAGAUUGGGAGCUUUGUUGUGGGUCUUGACAACAAUGGUGGCGAGGACGGGAGAUUGGGGGCUUAAAUUAAUAAAGUAAAAAAAGUGGCUUUUAUAUGGAUUUACAUGGAGAAUUAAGGCCAAUUUACAUGGAAAAUACCUUUCAUAUAAACACUUUAAUAUGAUUUAAUAAUAACUAAUUAGGAAAAUUAAGUACCUAUGAAAGGUAUAUAUGAGGUUUAAUGAUAAAUUAAAAUAUUUAUAUGGCAAAGUGAUAAUUAAAUCCUCAAUUUUUAAUAUUAUCAUAAAUAACUUUGAGCUAAAUGUGAAAAAAAAAUUGUUUUAUUAAAAUUUUCAGCUUAUUUAAUUAUAACUAUUUUAUUUUUUAAUUUAUAUAAUAUUUUUAUAAUUUUUUGAAAAUUUUAAUUAUCUUAUUUUACGUAUCACUCGAUACCAAACCGAGACACCGAUACCAAUAUGCCUUGUGACCCUCCGAGUCAAUGACCGAUACUGCGACUUUGAACCAUGGUGAGUAUGGCGUGGUUACGGUGGUUGUGAUGUAUGGAGAUUUAGAGAGAGGAAUGGGUACGAGGGACUCGGUGGGUGCUAAAGUGAAAGGAUGAUGGUGGCUAUGUGCAUGGGCCUCCAUGCAGGUGGAGAAUAAUGCAAAUGGGAUGAAGGCGGGUGUGAUGGGUGGUGGGAAUGGAUAGUAUGUAGGGUGAAUGAUGACGGGUUUUGAGGAUGGGCUCGGUUAUGUGGGGGGUGAGGAACUAUUGAGUGCAUGGUUCAAAGUUGCGGUAUCGGUCAUUGACUCGGAGGAUCCCGAGGCAUAUCGGUCUCGGUGUAUCGGUUUGGUAUCGGACGAUACGUAAAAUAAGCUAAUUAGAAAAUUUAAAAAAUUAUAAAAAUAUUAUAUAAAUCAUCAGAAAAAUAUAUACAAUUAAAUAAACUCAAAAAAUUAAUAAAAUAAAAUUGUAUUACAUUUAACAUUAUUUAAAUAGUUAUAAAAGUAUUUGCUCAAAGUUAUUUAUAAUAAUGCUAAUAAAAAUAAAUAUAUCGGUCUCGAAAUCAACUUAAAGUCAACUAUAAUCAAUAUGAUCUUUAGAGGUAAGAUCUAUAGACGGGGGUGCAUAAAUAAUUUUUUUUUUAUCAAUUUAGACUAAUACAUCAACAUAAUUAUUAUUUUAAGCAAUUACUUAAAUUAUUAACCUCCUUCCGAGGUAAUAUUAAUACAUUAUUCUUAUAUGAUUCUUUAAACAAAUUUUAAUUUAAUUUUUUUAUAUAUAAUUAAUUUUAAUUAUAUUUGAUUUUUUUUUAUAUAUAUUUUUAUAAAAAAUCAUGCAUGAAAAUUUUAUUUUUCUUAAUAUAUUUUUGAAGAAAUCAUUUUUUUUCCAUAAGCUUAAAACACCAAAUUUUUAUUUUUUUAUUUUUUUAUAUAGAAAUACAUGGACCAUAUGAAUUGAACUUGGGCUGGCCUAAUCUGGUGGGCUGAACCCGUAAAAAUAUGUCAUGGUGCUGAGCCACAUAGGAUCAAAGACCUAUCUUCUCCUAUCUUCCCUCCACUGAAAGCAGAGAGUGCGAUCUGCAGAGAGUGAAACCGCCAUGGCCAUCUCUCUCUUCUCCUAGCUUGCCCUCCACCGUGGACGCUCACGACGUUGGUUCUGCCGGUGGUGCCAUCAAAUCCUAUUUUCUUCACUGCACAAAGCUCUUCUCUGCUCCCAAACUCGGAAUGAGGGUUGUUUAGCUGGUGUUCAGUCACCGCUGCGGCACCAGCAGCGCACCAAAGAUGAAAAAUCUUCACUCCUGAUUUAUCUAAAAAUGUUGAUUCUUGUUGUGAUGGGUUUCAGAAUCUGUUGAUUUUUUUUUUUUUUUUCCGAGUCCACCGAGUUAACUCGGAAUAUUGGUCGAGUCAUCCAAGUCCAACCGAUUCAAAGCCGAGUUUAGGUAUAAAAUGUAUCUGGUAUCGGACUCCUCGCGGUCGGCGUCGAGGCGGAUAUUACUCGGCCGAUAUUUUGAACCCUGAUUGAGUGCAGAUGAAGGUGAGACUUUUUGGUGGCGAUGCUGAGAACGAAACUUUCAAGAGGAACAACAAGAAAAGAGAACCAAGAACGGGAGUGAGAUGAACCCAUACAUGCCUCAUUUCUUAUAUCAACCAAUCAACUCGAGUGGCCAAAACGAAUUUCAAAGGGGUUUCAAAAAGUAAAAAACAAGACAUGAAUGGCAGUGCCACAUACAAAAACUCAAAACAAAGUUCGAAAAACAGGUUGGAACUCAAGCAUAGUGCAGGUGCAAGUGAGCUCAGAUUCCAUAAAAAUACAUGAAUCCCCAACACGUACACUCAGGCAUCAGAAUGAAAAUCUCCUCAUGCACAGAAAACAUCCUAAAAUGGUAUAAAAAAAUAAAGGAAUCCAGUUUGUAGAGUCUAUACCUGUGUUACCUGUGUUAUUCCCUUUCCCAAAAUCUCCAGCUAUCUUCCAAACGUCCCCCCUUGCUCCCCUUUUCAUAUGUUCCCCCCUCCUCUCCAGCAAAAAAGAAGUCUCCUCUAAUAUCUCUCAAAACCCCUGUUUUUGUCUCCCCCCGCAAGCCACACUACUCGCUCCAUGCUCAGGGAAGAUGUCAUCCUCAACCACCACCAUGGCCAGCCAUGCCAUUUGCCACACGUCCACGCAGCUAGUUUUCCUCUAGAAAGAGGUCCCCCCACUAAAAAAAAAGAUCGAAAUAUUCAACCAUCCCUAGGUCUCAAAACAAAAGAAAGGUCCCCCCUUUAAAGAGUCUACACAAUUACAUUUACAAAAUAAAUUUAAUAUGUAUAUUCUUUCUUAUUUUAUCAUUUUGAGUUAUUUUUAUUCGCUCAUAUUUUUAUUAAAAUAUCCACCGAUAUUUCUCUCAUAUUUUCAAUAUAUUCAUAAAAUCCAAGUAUUCACCUAUAUUUCAAACUUUGGUUCUAAUUAUUUCACAUACAGAAUCUCAAAAAAAAAAAAAAGAAUUCUUACAAAUAUAAAAUCAUGAUUUAAUUGAUUACAAAUUAAAUUUACUAAUUUUGAAAAACCAGUUUCCAAAUCUAAAAAAAUAAAAAUAAAUUAUAAGUGCAAAAAUCAUGGCUUAGUUGACUACAUGGUAAAUUUAUUAAUUUUGUAAAACAAGAACAUAGUUUUUCACCGGUCUCAUAGGCUACAUUAUUUUUAGGGACUUACUCUAACCAACAUCCACACUAUACUUUUACGGCCUUGGCAUAACAUGCUAUAUAUACUUUAGUGGACAACCUUAACUCCUUGGUGAACGGAUGCCAUUAACCAUCAACUCUACUAAAAAAUAUGACAAAAUCUAAGAGUUUGGAGAUAUUUUAAUGAAGGAUUGAUAAUUUAGAACUAUAAGCAUGUAAUGGUUUUGAUGCAAUAACCAUAUUUAUAAAGAAAAAUUCUUAAUGGUUGAAUUGUACUAUCAAACUUUUCAAAACAUAGGUAAGUAUAAUUAUAAAGCAAAAAAAAAAAAAAAAAUGGAAAGUAUAAUUAUAAUUUUUUUUAUAUAUUAAAUAACACAUAUAUUGGUAUUAUAUAUAUAUAUAUAAAUUUAUUUUUUAAAACAAAAUAUUUUAUUUUAUAAAAUAAAUAAUAUUAUAAAUAAAAUAGAUGAGAAAAAAAUAAUAUUAAUUAUACCUCAACUUAUAUCUCAACUUGUGAUCAACAUAUAUUUUAGAAAGGAUAUUAAAAAAGAGCACAAAUAAUAUAUUUCAUCACUUAUUUUAUCUCAUCUUCGUUUGUUUCUUAUUAUAUCUUAUGUUAUCUGGUGCCAAUUCAAAACUUUUUCCAAAAACCACUUGGAGAUCAUAAAAUCCUAUUAGAAGUAGAAAGAGUAAGGUUGCAUCCUUGAAAUAUAGAGUCUGUUUGAUAAUGAUUUUAAGAAACGUCUUUAAUUUUUUUAACACUUGAAAUUUUUUGUCAUUUAAGUAUUAAAAAUUUUAGAAACAUUUUCUAAAAUCCUUCUCGAACGCACUCUUACAUGAGUAUCUCCGUUCUAAUUUUGAAAAGAUAACAUAUGAGAUGAGAUGUCAACAUUGAAUUAACAUCGAAACGGUGAAAACACCAAAGGCUUCCAAAUUGAUUUUGAGCCACAAUCAUAUAUGCAUUCACACUUGUUGUCAAGGUAUCAACAUUUCUGCUAGGAAUGGAUACACAGGCAUGCAGGAGUAUUCAUAAUCAUACCUUUGAUACACCAAAUGUACUCUUCUGUUUGCUCUCCAAGAAAAUGUUCCUUGUUCAAGGAGAAAGUGACCCUUUUGUUUAUAAAAUAGGAUUGGCAUCAGCAGAGCUUUGAACUGGUCAGCUGGAUGAGUACAUCAUCUCACUCAUAAGUUAAUACUUAUUCAAGUUGUACAUGAGGAAUUUAAUUUUCAUAUACAUGAUCAUACGCAAACGUCUCUUGAAUAUUUGUAAUUUGAAAAUUUAAGUAGUUCUUCUAAAUGAUUUUUUUUUUCUUUUGACUUUUGCCUUGCUCCUUCCAAGUCCAUAUUGAAGAGAUCAUCAUCUUAGCCAAGGUUUGACAGCAUGCCCAAGAGUGGUUUUGUUCUUGGAGCUGAGAAAAAACCAUUAUUGUUCUUCUUACUUAGAAUAUAUAUAGCUCUGAAUUAAUUUUCCUUUUAGCUCUUACCAAUUCUGAAUUUGGGUUUGGCUAAAAAGUUUGAAUCAAAUUGAGGGUGGAUGAUAUUCCUCAGUGAACAGGAUUGAUUGUUUUGAAUUUGUAGUUCAAAGUUCACUGCUCAUUCAAAAAUAGCUUCAUUACUCGAUUUUCUCUUAAGUGCACAUCACCUUCAAAAUUUUAGACAUUCUCUCUGUUUCUUUGAAGCUUUACCAUUACAUCACUGUAUUAAAAAAAAAAAUGCUAUAUAUGAAAUGUCUGAUACUAUAUAUAGGCUUUCAAGCAGCAAACUCUUCAAACAGAAAGUCAAUUUUUCUCACAAGUCCUCCACCUGAGAGAAAAGAAAGAGAAAAAUGGAAUCAGAGAGAAUUUUGCUUGCAUUUUCUGUGUGUAUCUGAAUUUUUGAGCUGCACCAGCACUAAAAUUCAUUAACCCAGGAGUCUUUAUUGUGGAAUAGGUUGGUGGCAAUGGAGAGUGGUGACAUUAGCGGAGUAGUUAGUGGACGUAUAAUUGUUUCUAACAUACUGAGGAACAGCUCCGUGGAAGUUUUCUCGAGAUCUUCUCGGGAAGAAGAUGAUGAAGAAGCCCUGAAAUGGGAAACAGGAUCAAAGUUGUAAUUGUCAAAGUCGUAAAAAAUGCUUCAGGCCCACACUGCCACAACCAUUGUGACAAUUGAGGUUUGCCAAUGACUGUUAGUUUGGAAGAAGUGGGGAUGACCACGACUAGGAAAAUGUUGAAUUCCACGUAAUCCAAUUUUAAAGUUAACUUCAAGUUUUAAAAUAUCUGAAUAUAUACUUCAUAUAUCCUCAAUAUAUCAAAUAUCUAUGAAUCUCGACAAUAUCCAUCAAUAUUCGAAAAUUCGGAUAUUUGACCACUAUUUCAUAGAUCGUUUCAACCUAUAUUUCACUUAUAUUUUUGGAUGUUUUAUCAAUAUUUUAUUUUUUCUAUUCUUUGAAUUGUUACAUUUGAUUUAAUUUAUUAUCAAAAAUAUAAACACAUAAUUUUUCCUAAUAUGUUUUUUUAUAUAAUCUAUAUAUUUAUUAAAUAUAAAAAAUAUAAAUGUUAAAAAAAUUAUACAUAUAUUAUUAUUUAAUUGAUAUCAUAGAAUACAUUUAAAUUAAAACGGAUCAUAAUUUUAAUAUUAAAUAUUUUUUAAAAUUAGACAUAUUAUCCAAAUAUUAUUAUAAAAUAAUAUAUAAUACAACUUAAUAAUAAAUGUAUAUUUAUAAAAUUUAUAUUUUUAUUGAUGUAAAUUAUAUAUAUAUAUAUAUAUCAUUUUUUUUAAAAAAAAACCUAUAAAAUGUUUAUUUUUACUUCUUAUAUAAUUUUUUUUUAGAAUUUUUCUUAAUAUUUUCAUAAUUUUCAUUAAUUUUAAACCAAUAUUUUGUGUCAAAAUAUUUGUCAAUAUAUCCGUUAUUACCAAUAUUUUCAUCAUUGAUUAACUCAAUAUCCCACUAUAGAGUCAAUUACAUUCUAGUAUCUUGUAAUAUUAAAACAAAAAGCAAGAACUCGAAUCCAUGACCUACUAGUCAUUUUAUUUGGAUUUCCUAUGAACCGGUAUUCAUAUUAUGAGGUUAAUGUUAUCAACUUCUCAAGAUUACCUUUAUAAUCUUUAAGUCUUGAAUUCUUCUAUUAUGUGAUUAUUUGACAUACUCUAGCUCAUAAAGAGUGCGUGUCAAAUUUUAAUUAAGGAAUUAAUUAUGGCUAUAAAUUUCCUAAUCACAUGUCCUUAUGAUUACCUAAUGGACCGUGUUGUCUUAAAUUCAUAAGAUAUCAUGGUUGUCUAUCUUAAGUACAUCCAUUAUCAUCGGCCUCCAUCAACAGUAACCCAAUCUAUCAACAACUUGCAUGACUUUUGAUUUUAAUUUACAUAUGACUUCUAAUUAUCAAAAUUAAUUUUACAUUAACUUCUAACUACAUAAUAAUUUGUACAUAACAUCUAACAAUUGUGGUAUUAAAUGAGAGUUGAACAAAGUUUUUGGCAUGACCAAAUAAGAUAAUUUGUUUAUAACUUCUAGCUAUAUAUAACAAAAUAAAUGCUAAUAGAAAUAUGUGACAUAUAUUCUAUAGUAAUAAUCUCAAAGUAAGGAUCAAAAAAUUAUCUCAAAGCAAAUCAUGUCAAUAACGUGUUAUAAAACUAAAAACAAACUAAAAAUCUUGUAUAAAGGAGAGUUUAAGAUGACUAGAGAAAGAAUUUCUUUUGAUAUAUAACUAUUUGAAUAUCAAAAUGCCUAUUUAAAGGUUUACAAAAUCACAUUAAUUGAUACUUCCUAAUUCAAUUUUAAAUAAAUGGAACAAUAAAUAUAAUAAUUGUGACAAAUGGAUGAGAGGGGUAGGUGUUAACCAAACUACGCCCACACCCAAGUAUAAAAUAAAGAAGAAAAAAAAUUAACGUGGUUCAACGAUCAAUGUGAUCUCUAGCGAAGCGCAACUCCCGCAAGCUAAUCAGGUGGCUUGACCCCAGACAUUCUGAGCAAAGCACAAUAAAAUUGACUUAGACUUCAUAAUCCAAUAAUAGGGUGGUGAAGGUGAUGGUCAUCCAUCGUAACAUUGAAUGCAUUAAUAAAUACAUUUACAAUGGAUAUUAUAUUUUAUGGACGAAAACUACAUUACCCAACUUCAUGUGAUAUGGGCCAAACAAUAACCAAUUAGGAAAAUUCAACAUUAUGAAUUCUUUGUUUCAUUUUUCAUUUUUGGUAGCCAAGCAAGCAAAACUUAGAUUCAUACCUUAUCCAAACAUGUUAUGGUAAAACCCAAAAAAGUAAAUGAUAAACACUACUAAGUGAAGCUUAAUGAUAAAUUAUUUCUUUCUUUAGCUUCUUUCCCAAGUAAAUAGACAGGAAAAUGAGGGGAAAGACAAGUUGAGUGAAGCUGAACUGGCACAAAAGUAGGCCGACGUCUUCUUCAGUAUAUUGAAUUAGAGUAACACAAAUCAAACAAGGGUUUGGUAUAUUAUUUGGCCUAUCGAAACUGUUAUAUGGCAACAUCAAAUUGUCAAAACAAACUCCUUUCCUAAGAAAUUGAAUUGAGCUGUGGCUGCCGUCAGCUGAAAUCUCUCUUAACCUAUGUAUUCUUUUGUUUGCUCUCCAAGAAAAUGCAUCUUGUUCAAGGAGAAAGUGACAUUUUUGUUUAUAGAAUAGGAUUGGCAUCAGCAGAGCUUUGAACUGGUCAGAUAGAUGAGGAAUUUGUCUUGCUCCUUCCAGGUCCAUAUUGAAGAGAUCAUCAGCUUAGCCAAGGUUUGACUUCAUUCCCAAGUGUGGUUUUAUUCUUGGAGUUGGGAAAAAAACCACCAUUGUUCUUCUUACUUAGAAUAUAUAUAUAUA